AUGGAACCCUAUGUAGGCAUGAGGUUUGACAGCCUUCAAAUUGCUAAGGAUCACUACAACAGUUACGCACUACGGAUGGGUUUCUCUAUCAAGAUGAACACCUCUAGACGGACACACCGCACCAAUGAAUUGAUAAAACAACAGUUUUGCUGCAACAAGUUCAAGAAGCCCAAAGCUGAUGAUGGAGGAGCUGAGGCUCCUCCUUACCUGGAACCUAUUCCAGAUCCAACAUCUGUUAACAGUGAUGAGGAGAUGGAAGAAGAACCUCCAAUAUUUGCUGAAGAGGAGGCUGGUACUAGUAAGAAGAAGAAGAAGCGCAAACGCGAGACAAUAAAGCAGACUGAAUGCAAGGCGAAAAUGUUGGUGAAGCUGAUAGAUGGGCGAUGGGAGGUGACGCACUUUGUUCGUGACCACAAUCAUCCGCUCAUGAACAAACCUUCAUUGUCCAAAUACUUGAGAUCCCACCAAGGCAUCUCACCUAAUGAAAAGGAGUUUCUGCGCAUCUUGUAUAACUGCAACUUGACUACAGGCGACUACAAUCCAAGUACCAUGACAGGCCGUGCUACUGCAGGUGACCGUGACGGUCCUACUGCCCCGUUGGAGGCUGCAUCCCUUGCACAAGCUUCUAAUGAUUUUGUGCCCAGGAAUCCUCCAAGGUCUACUACAAAGGGUAGGGCAAAGAGUCGAUGGUACAAAUCGGCGCUGGAGCUACACCCAAAGAAGAAAAACAAAUGCAGCCAGUGCCAAUCUACAGAGCACACUGCUGGUGUGUGUCCACAGAGGCUCCUAUGA
This 792-nucleotide ribosomal RNA is filed under the name Triticum aestivum (bread wheat). Its description in RNAcentral is "partial small subunit ribosomal RNA". The record is from RNAcentral. Lineage: Eukaryota; Viridiplantae; Streptophyta; Magnoliopsida; Poales; Poaceae.